GGCCGAGUGGCGGAAUUGGUAGACGCUGGGGACUUAAAAUCCCCUGCCUGUUAUGGGUGUAUGGGUUCGAGUCCCAUCUCGGCUA
This 85-nucleotide transfer RNA is filed under the name Phycisphaerae bacterium. RNAcentral describes it as "tRNA-Leu". It matches the Rfam family "tRNA". From Rfam's summary of the family: Transfer RNA (tRNA) molecules are approximately 80 nucleotides in length. Their secondary structure includes four short double-helical elements and three loops (D, anti-codon, and T loops). Further hydrogen bonds mediate the characteristic L-shaped molecular structure. tRNAs have two regions of fundamental functional importance: the anti-codon, which is responsible for specific mRNA codon recognition, and the 3' end, to which the tRNAs corresponding amino acid is attached (by aminoacyl-tRNA synthetases). tRNAs cope with the degeneracy of the genetic code in two manners: having more than one tRNA (with a specific anti-codon) for a particular amino acid; and 'wobble' base-pairing, i.e. permitting non-standard base-pairing at the 3rd anti-codon position. Lineage: Bacteria; Pseudomonadati; Planctomycetota; Phycisphaerae. The record is from RNAcentral.